AAAAAGAAAUGUGAAAAUGUUUCCUACAUUAUUCCACUGCCUUACAUGGUCACACACUUUCAGAUCAUUUCCAGUAGUAGAUUUAGAGAAUGUCCACUAUAUUCGAAGGCAUGGUUGGAUAGUGCCCUCUUGUGGGAAAACAACAUAUUGCUUAUGUCGUGCUUGCUUAAACAUUAGCAAGGAUUUUAAAAUUUUAUUAACUGGGUGCAGUGGCUCACGCCUGUAAUCCCAGCAGUUUGGGAGGCUGAGGCAGGCAGAUCACCUAAGUUGGGAGUUCGAGACCAGCCUGACCAACAUGGAGAAACCCCCUCUCUACUAAAAAUACAAAAUUAGCUGGGCAUGGUGGCAUGUGCCUGUAAUCCCAGCUACUCGGGAAGCUGAGGCAGAAGAAUCGCUUGAACCUGGGAGGCGGAGGUUGUAGUGAGCCGAGAUCGUGCCAUUGCACUGUAGCCUGGGCAACAAGAGCGAAACUCCAUCUCAAAAAAAAAAAAAUCGGUGUGUACAAGCAUGUUUUGUACAAAAUGCUUUUUCACUAGAAACCAUUAUUAAUUUAAGGUUUAUUCCUAAUUUCUUCCAUGUUUUAAAAGUAAAAAGGCGGGGAGGGUAAUGGAGGUGAUGGGGGUGUGAAUAGGAUUUGCUCUAGUUCCUUGGGUGGGGGAUAAAAUUCUCUGAGAGUCAGAAAAUGUUUUUGAGCAGCUCAUGGCAGAUAUUUGUAAAGAAAUAAGCAUAAACAGCUCCAAGUCAAGUUUUUACAGUGCAUUUCUUAUAAAAGCCCCUUUUCAGCCAUGUAAACUCUUUUUUAAGGAAGGCUCCCUAGGCUGAGAGGGAGCAAGCGUCCCUUCAGGUACUUGAGUCUAAUCAAAUGGUAGAAUGUAAAUCACAUUUUUUCAAUAAAGGAUCAUGGUUGGCUUUGGUGUCAGACAGGGCAGCAUCUGAGUCCUGGCUCUUCUGCUCAGUGAUGGUGGACUCUGGCAAAGAAUUUCACUUCCCUGCCCCUAGUGGUGGUGAUAGUCCAGUACCUUUAUUUCAAGUUUUUGAGCAUUAACUGGGAGAAUGUGGGGGCCUGACACAUAAGUGUGUGCUUC
Molecule: long non-coding RNA, 1085 nt
Filed under: Homo sapiens (human)
Lineage: Eukaryota; Metazoa; Chordata; Mammalia; Primates; Hominidae
Description: non-protein coding lnc-MN1-8:1
Source: RNAcentral